Molecule: transfer RNA, 73 nt
Filed under: Camelus bactrianus (Bactrian camel)
Lineage: Eukaryota; Metazoa; Chordata; Mammalia; Artiodactyla; Camelidae
Also listed under: 2 other names
Rfam family: tRNA
About the family: Transfer RNA (tRNA) molecules are approximately 80 nucleotides in length. Their secondary structure includes four short double-helical elements and three loops (D, anti-codon, and T loops).
Source: Rfam by way of RNAcentral
GGGGGUAUAGCUCAAGUGGUAGAGCGCAUGCUUAGCAUGCACGAGGUCCUGGGUUCAAUCCCCAGUACUUCCU